RNAcentral lists this unclassified non-coding RNA (209 nucleotides) under uncultured Ascomycota. RNAcentral's name for it is "sequence contains 5.8S rRNA gene, ITS2, 28S rRNA gene". The record is from RNAcentral. Lineage: Eukaryota; Fungi; Ascomycota.
AACGCACAUUGCACCUCUUGUGAGGUAUGCCUGUCUGAGCGUCUAUGUAACCCAAUAGGCUUGGCCUGUUUUGGGCUUCACUGGGCUCCCCAGCGUUGCCUCAAUUGCAUGUCGUUGUGAAUGGACGAGAUCCUGUAGGACUCUAUUCCAAUCGGGCGACUGAAUGAAUGUUUGACCUCAGAUCAGGUAGGAGUACCGCCUGAACUUAA